RNAcentral lists this ribosomal RNA (445 nucleotides) under uncultured bacterium. RNAcentral's name for it is "bacterial SSU rRNA". It matches the Rfam family "Bacterial small subunit ribosomal RNA", at positions 217 to 662 of the family's 1533-position model. The record is from RNAcentral.
GGUAUGGGAUGAGCUUGCGUCCGAUUAGCUAGUUGGCAGGGCAACGGCCCACCAAGGCGACGAUCGGUAGCCGGCCUGAGAGGGUGAUCGGCCACAUUGGGACUGAGAUACGGCCCAGACUCCUACGGGAGGCAGCAGUAGGGAAUAUUGCACAAUGGGGGAAACCCUGAUGCAGCAACGCCACGUGUGGGAAGAAGCAUUUCGGUGUGUAAACCACUGUCGUGAGGGAAUAAGGCGUCUUCUCGGAGGCGUUGAAUGUACCUCGAAAGGAAGCACCGGCAAACUUCGUGCCAGCAGCCGCGGUAAUACGAGGGGUGCAAGCGUUGUUCGGAAUCACUGGGCGUAAAGGGAGCGUAGGCGGAGAUGCAAGCGGACUGUACAAUACCGGGGCCCAACCCCGGGCCUGCAGUUCGGACUGCACCUCUUGGAUAGUUCAGGGGCAGGC